Molecule: ribosomal RNA, 460 nt
Filed under: uncultured bacterium
Lineage: Bacteria
Description: partial 16S ribosomal RNA
Rfam family: Bacterial small subunit ribosomal RNA
Source: RNAcentral
CCUACGGGAGGCAGCAGUGAGGAAUAUUGGUCAAUGGACGAGAGUCUGAACCAGCCAAGUAGCGUGAAGGAUGACUGCCCUAUGGGUUGUAAACUUCUUUUAUAUGGGAAUAAAAUGUUCCACGUGUGGGUUUUUGUAUGUACCAUAUGAAUAAGGAUCGGCUAACUCCGUGCCAGCAGCCGCGGUAAUACGGAGGAUCCGAGCGUUAUCCGGAUUUAUUGGGUUUAAAGGGAGCGUAGGUGGAUUGUUAAGUCAGUUGUGAAAGUUUGCGGCUCAACCGUAAAAUUGCAGUUGAAACUGGCAGUCUUGAGUGUAGUAGAGGUAGGCGGAAUGCGUGGUGUAGCGGUGAAAUGCUUAGAUAUCACGAAGAACUCCGAUUGCGAAGGCAGCUCACUGGACUACAACUGACACUGAGGCUCGAAAGUGUGGGUAUCAAACAGGAUUAGAUACCCGAGUAGUC